RNAcentral lists this ribosomal RNA (455 nucleotides) under Streptococcus sp. oral taxon 068. RNAcentral's name for it is "bacterial SSU rRNA". It matches the Rfam family "Bacterial small subunit ribosomal RNA", at positions 28 to 468 of the family's 1533-position model. Lineage: Bacteria; Bacillati; Bacillota; Bacilli; Lactobacillales; Streptococcaceae. The record is from RNAcentral.
GAUGAACGCUGGCGGCGUGCCUAAUACAUGCAAGUAGAACGCUGAAGCUUGGUGCUUGCACCGAGCGGAUGAGUUGCGAACGGGUGAGUAACGCGUAGGUAACCUGCCUGGUAGCGGGGGAUAACUAUUGGAAACGAUAGCUAAUACCGCAUAACAGUCGACAUUGCAUGAUGUUGAUUUGAAAGGGGCAAUUGCUCCACUACCAGAUGGACCUGCGUUGUAUUAGCUAGUUGGUGAGGUAACGGCUCACCAAGGCGACGAUACAUAGCCGACCUGAGAGGGUGAUCGGCCACACUGGGACUGAGACACGGCCCAGACUCCUACGGGAGGCAGCAGUAGGGAAUCUUCGGCAAUGGGGGCAACCCUGACCGAGCAACGCCGCGUGAGUGAAGAAGGUUUUCGGAUCGUAAAGCUCUGUUGUAAGAGAAGAACGAGUGUGAGAGGGAAAGUUCACA